GUGCAUUUACUCCUCUAUAUAUGCAUAAAUGAGUUUUCUAAAAUAGCUUCAAAAAAUAGCCUUGUUUCUUUAUGGAUCAUCAUAUAUGCAUUAUUAGUAGUAUAUUAUGGUGCUAGUCAUUAAUUAAUUACAUUACAACUAUGAUUAUCUUAAUUAAGGAGUUUUAUUAUUAUUUUUAAAUAUUUGUUUCACAGUUUUAACUUUCACGUCCAAUAAAAUGUGGGAACCCACGUGAAGAAAAUAUAUCAAAGACUGGAAUUGGAAAUGAAUCUAUAGUACCCCCCAACACUUAUGGGGAGUGAUGGAGACAUGUCCCAUGAAAGAUUUCUCUUAUUUAUCUAUAUAGAUAAUUUGAUACUCUCAAAAACUCUUGUAUUAUAUUCAAUAUGAUUUAUCAAUUUCCAAACAGUUUUAUUUAUCUAAUUCUCAUUUUGUUGCCUUAGAUUUGAAAGAAAAUAUUCACAAUGGUCCCAAUGUUGUUAUUAAAUGUAGCAUUGCUGGCACUGCAGACACGCAAAUAGUACUCUUUAUUUUUCAACUGAUCUUCAUUGUUUGUAUUUGAGUCAAUAAAUUAGUGAGACAAAACCUUACUCACACACAUUGGCUAGAGAUGUAGCUUACAUUCAGCUUCUUCAUUGUUAGAAAUAAUGAUAUAAAUAAAGCUUAUAAAGCUUGAUGGUGUAUAAUAUAAUAUAUAUUGAAAUAAUAGAAAUGUUAUUUUGACA
RNAcentral lists this long non-coding RNA (725 nucleotides) under Cicer arietinum (chickpea). Its description in RNAcentral is "long non-coding RNA (CARI_LNC003796)". The record is from RNAcentral. Lineage: Eukaryota; Viridiplantae; Streptophyta; Magnoliopsida; Fabales; Fabaceae.